Molecule: ribosomal RNA, 461 nt
Filed under: uncultured bacterium
Lineage: Bacteria
Description: bacterial SSU rRNA
Rfam family: Bacterial small subunit ribosomal RNA
Source: RNAcentral
GAGCGCGAACGGAGCAAUCCUAGUAGAGCGGCGCACGGGUGCGUAACACGUGGGUAAUCUGCCUGAAAGUCUGGAACAACCUACCGAAAGGUUGGCUAAUGCCAGAUAAGCCGACAAAGUCUUCGGACUUCGACGGAAAAGAUGGCCUCUGUUUACAUGCUAUCGCUUUCAGAUGAGCCCGCGGCCCAUCAGCUAGUUGGCGGGGUAAUGGCCCACCAAGGCAACGACGGGUAGCUGGUCUGAGAGGACGAUCAGCCACACUGGAACUGAGACACGGUCCAGACUCCUGCGGGAGGCAGCAGUGGGGAAUUUUGCGCAAUGGGCGAAAGCCUGACGCAGCAACGCCGCGUGUGUGAUGAAGGUUUUCGGAUCGUAAAGCACUUUCGACCGGGAAGAAACCGCAUUGGCUAACAUCCAGUGCGCUGACGGUACCGGGAGAAGAAGCACCGGCUAACUCUGUG